GACGAACGCUGGCGGCGUGCUUAAAACAUGCAAGUCGAACGGACUUCUCAUGAAGCUUGCGAUUGAGAAGUUAGUGGCGGACGGGUGAGUAACGCGUGGGCAACCUGCCCCUGAGCCCGGGAUAACAGUUCGAAAGGACUGCUAAGACCGGAUGUUCUUGCAGAGGAGCAUUUCUCUGUAAGGAAAGGAAACGCUCAAGGAUGGGCCCGCGUCCCAUUAGCUAGUUGGUGAGGUAACGGCCCACCAAGGCGACGAUGGGUAGCCGGCCUGAGAGGGUGAACGGCCACACUGGGACUGAGACACGGCCCAGACUCCUACGGGAGGCAGCAGUUGGGAAUCUUCGGCAAUGGGCGCAAGCCUGACCGAGCAACGCCGCGUGAGUGAUGAAGGUUUUCGGAUUGUAAAGCUCUGUCUUCCGGGACGAUAAUGACGGUACCGGAGGAGGAAGCCACGGCUAACUACGUG
Molecule: ribosomal RNA, 465 nt
Filed under: uncultured organism
Description: bacterial SSU rRNA
Rfam family: Bacterial small subunit ribosomal RNA
Source: RNAcentral